This is a non-coding RNA of Aegilops tauschii subsp. strangulata, 2787 nucleotides long. The record is from RefSeq and is a predicted model, not a curated record. Lineage: Eukaryota; Viridiplantae; Streptophyta; Magnoliopsida; Poales; Poaceae.
UUUUCCUCUCAUAUUCCUUCUGUUUUUUGUUUUUAUUUUUUACUUCUUCUGGUUUUCUCUAUUCUAAAAUUCAUGGACUUUUCUGUAUUCAUGAAUCUAUCUAUAUCUAUCUAUCUAUAUCUAUCUAUCUAUCUAUCUAUAUCUAUAUCUAUAUCUAUCUAUACUUCUAUAUCUAUAUCUAUAUCUAUCUAUCUAUAUCUAUCUAUCUAUCUAUAUCUAUAUCUAUACUAAUUAUAGACUCCCAAGAAAUUACCAUGUUAAUCAGAAAUUACGAACCGUUCAUCUGGUGGGACCGAGUUAUAACGGUAGAGAUCCACCCAUAUAAGUUUUUUUCUCUUACCAUGUUAACCAGAAAUUACGAACCGUUCAUCUGAUGGGACCGAGUUGUAAUGGUAGAGAUCCAUCCAUAUAGGUUUUUUUUCUCGGCUAUAUCUACACGUAACAAACAUCCAACUUAAUUCCGACGUUAAAAAAGUUCAUCCGGCCAACACGCAUGCACGCAUGUAUCCAAGGUGAGAGUCCAUUCAUUUUUAAAAAGGUGAGAGUCCAUUGAUAUUUUUUUAAUUGAGAGUCCACCUCAUAUACGUUUAAUACCAUCUCUCCUAAUCCUUUACGCUUCUAUAUAUAUAAUAAUCUUCACGCCUAUAGAUGUGCGUCAAUACGUGCUUCAGUCCACAACAGCACAUCGUCGUGUCCUAUCCUAGACCUUAAUCGCCUUAUGUGGGCAAUUUUCUGGCUGCCACUUUUUUCCUCAGGUAUUUGCAAAACUAUGUAUCAAUUGUUCUUCCCGUACGGCCACAGUACGCGCGGCCACGAAGGCAUGCAACACCAGAUGAAAGUUGUGCCACCGGUCCAGCUGAUCACCCCGUUUAUGAUUUCCUGCCACCUCUAGAUUUCUACUGUACUAAUUAACGACCGUUUGAAGUUGAUGUGCAUGCAUUGAAUAAUACCCAGGUCUGUUCGUAUCUCCACUCAAUCUGACCGGAGCCCUCCCCAACAUCCUAGGUCAUAACAGGUCAUAACAGGUCAUAACAGGUCGCUCGCAGGCAAGCCAUGCGGAUUGAAGUGAAAAUUAGGACAAUGGAAAUUGCAAGCAUGCCCUACACAGUGGCGGAGGCAGGGGGGUGGCCAGCCAGCCGGCCCUCCCCAACAUCAGAUUAUACGCAUUCCUGCCUCCACCACUGGCCCUACACGAAUAAAUCAAGGAGAGCGGUCGGGCCACCGACUAACGAUCCUCUAAUAUUUUUAUUUCCAAAGCCUUUGUUCUCUUUGAGAUGAAAUAAACAGUUUUAACUUUUAGAACACAGUUUAUAGUUGGUAUAGGGUGGAUGCCUGAAUGUAGUCUGCUUAUCGUUAGUUUCAUUAUUUAUAUCUAGGUGAGAAUAACAGUUAUAACCAGCAGGAUGCUCUACGAUUAAUAGACUCUUCGUUGAAAACUCUCUUAACAGGAUGUGAGGUAGAUCCUAACAGAAACAGGAUGGAUGUCGGGCCCAUGGCAUGGUCUUACAUAUGGACUAUUCUCACGAUAUCAAUACGACACAUGGAGUCAAGCAUGGUGAACAAAAUAACAAGAUGCAUCCAUAUAUGGAUCUUAUCCUCCUGGACAUUGGAAGAAGAAGUUGGCUAAUAUGGUAGACUUGAACGUCAUUGGCACACCACCAGCCCUGACGAUGUCUAGCCGCUAGCAUGCAACUGAGAGAAAAGGCAACAUCGAGCAGUGGCAAGGUUGUCGUCACAGAGUAGUCCUGUUGCCGGACUUGCCCAUGAAGAAAAUCAGACUUUGACAAGAUUUCAGUUGAAUUCAAAGCAGUGAUUCCAUAUUUCAAUUUUAAGUACGUAAAUAAGGAUGCAUGCAAGAAGGAGAGGAGUAGCCCAUGUUUAAUUAUGUUGUCAUGUUUGAUCGCAGGCAGCAAGGAAGGUAGAUAUGGUCUGCAAGCAGGAGCAGGAAGUUUAUUUCUAAAUUAGUGAUGAUGAUAAAACAGAGGGUUUCUUCCAAUUUGUAGUGCUUGCUAUUCAUCUUGAUAAUGUACUCAGGGUAGUCACAAUCCCGACUCGACUUCUAGAAUCCUACGACUUCACGACCCUACGGAACCAUGUCAAUCCAAGUCCCACUAUGAAUCCGGAUCAGAAUAGUAUGCCAUCAUCCAAAGCAUUUUCACAUGCCUCAUGGCCCUUUAUUCUCCUCCCAAGCCCAAAUGCUCAGCCGCCGACACCUUUGAUCUGGCUCUCAAAACCUAGAUCAAAAUUGAGGAUCAGACUUGUCGACAAAUGGAAUUGGCAUGGGAAGGAGGAUGCGUCAAGAUUGAUCGGAGAAGGAGAGCAAGACCCUUCAAGGUUCAGCACUGCAGGGCGGAUAUACAAGUGAUCGGCUAUUCACGUAUUCUAAAAAACCCAGGCAAUCAGAACGCUCUCAUUUUUGGUAAUCACUAAUCACGAGGUAUAGUUAAGAUGGUCGAUCCCCGGGUACCCAGUUUACUGUGCCCUAAGCAAUGACUAUUUUCUGUUGAUUAACAGAUAUAGUGCUUCCACAAAAGAACAAUUAUUCCCAGGCCUGCACUGCCCGUGUGAGUAUGGUCAUACUAUGAUACAGUAGUCGUACUCUCCAUCAUGUAUGCUAGCUGCAUCUAAUUGCCAGCUCCCCCUCUCCGGCCCCUAUGUACAUCACUCUACACUAGCUAAGUUUAAUUUCAUCAAAUUUUGGGGUACUUCCUCCAUUUUUAUAUACAAAGCCACAAACUCAAAUUAGAGGUACCAAGGUUAAAUUUAAUACAUGUUUUACAAUCCAAC